GCCGAGGAGGAGGGCUCCCUGAGGCAGGGCUGCUUCCAAAGAUGCGGAUUCGUUUCCUCUGCCCGCCCGGAGUCCGCGUCAGCCCGGGGCCCCGGGAGCCCACUUGUCCGGGCUGCUCCCGGUCACGCACGCAGCUCUUCUAACAGGACUGCACCUACCCCGGCCGGUGUGCCUCCCCGCGGGCCGCACACUCCUUCGGCUCCGGCGCCGGGGGCUGCAGGAGUCCAUCAGGCUUUGGGACACACACACACGUGUAUAUAUACAUAUAUAUCAACACAUACAUGUACAUAUAUACAUAUACACCAAUAUAUAUAUAAACAUACUAUACACACACACACACAUAUGGAAUAUAUGGAAUGGAAUAUAUCUUGGGCAUGCAUUAUAUACUUAUUGCCAGAUUAUAUAUAAAACAUACACGUAUUAUAUAAAUAUAUAAUAAAUAUACAUGCUACCAUUUCUAUUAUGCAUCCUACAGGUAUGUUUGUAUGUAUAUAUGUGUAUGACACACACACACUAUACAUAUAUUACAUAUACAUAACAUGCAGAUAUUGUGCAAUAUCUAUAGUAUUGUGCAAUAUAUAUAAUGUGUGUCAUAGAUAAUAUGUCAUACAUAUAAAAUGCAGAUAUUGUGCAAUAUAUAUCAUGCUAUAUAUAUAAAAUGUGUGUGUGUGAUAUCCAUGCCUCCCAGGUGUUGAGCUUCCCAGUGAAGCCGUGAUGGCUCCUCAGUGCCCGAUGCACUGACCGUCUGACCGUGAGCUGUGCUCACUUGCCUGUUCCUCUCGACUCUCUCCCCUCCCCAUCCCGUGCCUUUCUGCGCUGGCUUUGGGCCGAUGCACUGUUGACGGCUCAGCCGAGGCACUCGAUCGCCCCUCGGCUCCCGAAACAAGCGGCCCCGGCCCGAGGGCCCCGUGCGCCGGGAAUGGCGGGCUGAGCUGUAGCCGGGCGCGGUGCCGCGGGGGUCGCGGCCGGGCUGCGGCGGGGAGGUCCGGCCGGCGGCGCGCAGGGGACGCCGCUCGCCCUCCCCGGGCAGUGUUUAUGCAACUGAAUGUACUUCACAAACUGCUGCUCCCUACACAUCCUGCUAGCAGGGCCACCCAGAGAUCAGAAGCGGUUGCAGCUUGAAACCGUCUGUGAUGCAGCUAAGAGCGGACUUCUCUGACCCGCACAACGAUAGCUCCCGGUGAAUUUUCGAACCUAGCCGGCAGAACCAGAAAGCACAGAUGAGCCUGAAAAUGAAAAAUGGGGGAAAGAAACAUUUUCCAGACCUUUCAUUAAGAAGGAAAGAAAGAAGUUCUAUUUACACAGGAUUGUCACACCACAAAGUCCCCUAAAGCCCAAUUUGCUCUUUAAAGGUUUGGGCAACACUCAAAUCUGACCUUUAGAGCCAUAAACAAAUUCAACUGUUUCACAACCAAUAGUAAGAAAAAUUUUGAACAGCUAGGUAUCCCUUGAGUUUCCUCACAAAGGAGAAGAUGCCCCAGUACACCACAACUCAGAAGAAGCAGGAGACCAAGAAAGAGAGCAUGCACAAAUAACGAUGGUGUUCUACAGACUUGUGAAACUGCUAGACCAGUGAUUCUCAAUGUUUUUCGACUCAAGGCACCCCUCUAAAAAUGCCAGCUCUUAGUUUUUAUUCAUUUCUUGACUACAGGAGAAAUAGAGCAAUUUUUCUGUUGCAGAAAACUCAGAAAGAUCACAACAGGUCAGACUGGAUAUUUGAUGCUAUAGAUUUUUAUUUGAAAUCUCUGGGUUUAUUUUGUGAAUGAUGAGCAAGUGUUUUCACACCUUAACUGUGCUAAUAUUGCAUAGUACCCUGUAGCACCCUUAAAAGCAUCUCAUGGCAACAUAGGAUGCUAUGGCACCCUGGUUAAGAAUCACUGUGCUAUACAGAAGGAUAUCCAAACUAAUUGAGAGCAGCACACUACGCACUUUGAAAGAAACUGUCAGAAGACCUUUUAUUUACUUUUUAAGGUAGAGUUCUCACCAACAGGCAUAUGCUGUAGCAAGAUUUUUACUGAGCAAACAGCAUGUAGUAAUGGCACUCUGUGUAUUUUUUCAGUGUGCAGGGCCUGGCUACCGUUCAAGGUGAAAUUUAAAGGUAGCUAAAUCAAUUUCCACACACCUUUAUUGAAAUAAAACCAUUUCCCCCCUGCGCUUUUUGUUUAUUUGAACUUUGCCUGGGCCCAUGCUCCUCACAUACAAAAUCUACCUCUCUUUUUGGUCUUGUUGACAUGUGUGGGGGGCAGGACUGUGUCACCUGCAAUUGACUCUCCUGAAUUGAUCUUUGGAUGAGGUGUAAUUAGACUGAAUCGUGUAACUUUUAUUCCAGAAUGAAGUGUCCACAGGAGGCAUUAUACUGCCCAAGCUCUAAUGGUAUAACUAUGCCACUCUAAUUCUGCUGGUCAAUUUCUCCAGUAGUCAAGCACUUUGCAAGCAAAAUGCUUACAUCUCAGUGCUACACAUAAUUGGAAUAUAAAGAGCUUGGCUCAGAUAAAGCUGUUCCCUCUCCUUAAACCACCAGUGAAGUGACCAGCUGGGGAUUCCCCUGAAGUAGGGGAAUGUCUUGGUGACAGAGCAAUCCCCAGCUGCCAUGAUGGCCGGGCCAUUACAGGUGGCUGAGCAUUAGAGCCCAAAAGUAAAAUCAUUGCAUCUCUUAAGGUUCCCUCAAACCUUAUUUGCACAAAUUGGAGGAUUGGUCCCAUUGUCCCACUACCUCUAUAGGCAGAUCCUGGAUUUUGUAAAGGGGGGUGCAGCAGCAGCAACUGGCACUGCAGGGCUGGUUGUACCUUCCCAUUCCUAGCCAUCCACCUUGACCAGAGCAGGAAGACAACACAAUGAGAGCAGCAACCAGAGACUUUAUAACCUCAAAUCAGAUAAGGAUCUGCCCCUCCAGCUCUCUCCACCUCCCGGGCCCCUUUCUUGACUACUCAGCAAUACCUCCCUUCCCCUGCUGCUGACCCUAGGAGGUGGGGAGGGUUGCUCCCCCCACCCCCAACUACUCCCCCGCAAGUGUUCCCUGCCAACCCAGGAACAGAGUCAGGGAGGGGGAACCCAUCUGCCACUGUCCUCAGCUGAGCCUGUUUUCCAGUGCAGUGGGAGCAGGGUAGGAGCAGCUCUGGAGCUUUACCUAGCCCAAUGGCAGGCAAGGACAGUGGCAACAGCAGGCAGAGGAAGGGAGGUGUUGCUGAGCAUGGAAAGGAAAGGAAAACAUCCUUACCUGCCUCAGCAACUUAAAAAGUCCCCCAACUGCUACUCCUGCAGUGUGGUUUGAAAGGGAAGGGGAGGUGCAACUGUGCUACCACACCCCCUCUGGAUCCAACCCUGACCACCUCCAAAACAUCUUAGCCACUCCAGGUUCUACAGUAACAGGACCCUCAUCUCUGCUCAUAACUAUCAACUCCCCUGCAUUACAAGGGAAGGCAGUGAUUUUAAACCUACAUUCCCCUUCUCCAUAUAACACACCUCUUUCCAUUUUGUAAAUGCUCAGUUUGUAGGACCUGCCAAUUACAGGUUUGGAUGAGAAGGGUUAACUACACACAUACUUGCCCACUCAAACAGGCAACAGUACAUUUUGUGCAUCCUAAAACUCACAGAGAUGGCAAUUUCAAAGUGCAACAAGUUACAUGUAAAGUUUGGCGCAUCUUACAGGGGAGAUUUGGUCUCAUUCAUUUUGUUGUUGAACCUGCAAGUGCCAUGUCAGAUGUUCAGAAAUACUUAAUGUUCAAAUGCAGCAGAUGUGUAUUGUUUUGGUAAGAAAGGCACUAUUUGCUUCUGGAGGCAGAGGUUGUCUUCUUGUUCUCUUUUUCUAACACAAAAAUCAGCCCUGUAAUCUAAACAUCAGGUGUAUUUCUGUAAAUCAUUUAAGAUCACAUUUACAAAAUUGAAUUUGUCCAACUAUUUAAACUGCAUUACCAUGGUAUAUGAAUACCUUAAAAUCUAUAAUGAAACAUAGGGUUUAACAUCUACUUUAACCUAUAUUUAUACAUCAAUUAAAUUUACCCCCUUUACCCUAAAUUAACUGCUUAAUUUUGACACUGUCAUUCUCAACAUGUAAAUUACACCAGCUUAUAUCAACAGUGACAGACUGUGACAUUUAUUGCCAUUUACAUCAGCUCUGAACUGACACAAAGUACCAUUGCAUUUAGUAGCAAUCAAAAUAGAACCUGACAUUUUUGUGGAUGGAUAGAGUUACAAGAAGAAUGAUUAAAAAAGCAAUCAAAACCAAGUAUUUGAGAAGAGAUAUAAGCCUUCAUGAUUCUGGGCAUGAGCCAGCCUCUAAUUAGAGAUGGUUAAGAUGACAACUGUCUCCAUUGGCAGGUUAUUGUAUUAUCAUUCACUAUAGGGUUUUCUGCAUCUUUCCUUGGGCUGCUGGUUCUACCUACAGUAAGAAACAGGAUAUGGGACUAGACCAGGGGUGGGUAAAAUACAGGCCGUGGGCCAGAUCUGGCACACCAGGUAACUGGAUCCUGCUUGUGGCAGCCCUUGCAGCGCUUGGCAUGGAGCCAAGCCCUGCCCACUUAUGCUGGGGCAGCCUGCACCGGGCUCCCCCCGACCAGUUUGUGCAUUCUCCAACAUGGCUGCAGCUGGGUACUUCUCUGCUCCCUCCACCUCCAGAGGGGGCUCCUGCCCCUGCCACACCGUGCCACACUACUCCGGACAAGCAGGUGGGCAGCUUCAUCUGGGCAGCUCUUGCCCCAACUUGCAGGUCUCCAACUCCAGCUCCUGGCAUUUUCCAGUGGAAGGCAGAGCUGAAGGUAAAGCUGAAGCAGAAGCUGAAGCCAGAGCCCUGUGCUCUGGGACAGGAGCUGCCCAGCUGAAACUGCCCACCCAGCUACAAGGAAUAGCACAGUGCACCAGGGGCCAGAAGCAGGAACCACGGUUGGAGGUGUGGUGCAUACAGCAGCACCCAGAUGGCUGCAACUGCACUGGGAACAGCCUGCAGGCCGUCCCGCACUGUACCAUGCUGCUCCGAACAGGUGGGUGGGCAGCUUGAGCCAGGCAACACUUGACCUAGCAUGCAGGGCUCUGGCUUCAGCUGCCAACCACCUUCCUGGCAGGGGCAAGGUCAGAGACAGGGGCAGGAGCAGGAGCUGCCGCUGGAAGCAGGGGGUAGAAAAUGGCACCCAGCCGAGCCAGGCCAGG
This is a long non-coding RNA of Alligator mississippiensis (American alligator), 5142 nucleotides long. RefSeq lists it as uncharacterized. The record is from RefSeq and is a predicted model, not a curated record. The transcript is spliced from 4 exons. NCBI's taxonomy places the organism in Eukaryota, Metazoa, Chordata, Crocodylia, Alligatoridae.